GCGAACAGGAUUAGAUACCCUGGUAGUCCAUGCCGUAAACGGUGGGCGCUAGGUGUGAGUCCCUUCCACGGGGUUCGUGCCGCAGCUAACGCAUUAAGCGCCCCGCCUGGGGAGUACGGCCGCAAGGCUAAAACUCAAAGGAAUUGACGGGGGCCCGCACAAGCGGCGGAGCAUGUGGAUUAAUUCGAUGCAACGCGAAGAACCUUACUGGGCUUGACAUACUCCAGAUCGCCGUAGAGAUACGGUUUCCCUUUGUGGUUGGUGUACAGGUGGUGCAUGGUUGUCGUCAGCUCGUGUCGUGAGAUGUUGGGUUAAGUCCCGCAACGAGCGCAACCCUUGUCUUAUGUUGCCAGCACGUUAUGGUGGGGACUCGUGAGAGACUGCCGGGGUUAACUCGGAGGAAGGUGGGGAUGACGUCAAAUCAUCAUGCCCCUUAUGUCCAGGGCUUCACACAUGUACAAUGGUCGGUACAACGCGUUGCGAGCCUGUGAGGGUGAGCUAAUCGCUGUAAAGCCGGUCGUAGUUCGGAUUGGGGUCUGCAACUCGACCCCAUGAAGUCGGAGUCGUAGUAAUCGCAGAUCAGCAACGCUGCGGUGAA
This 598-nucleotide ribosomal RNA is filed under the name uncultured bacterium. Its description in RNAcentral is "bacterial SSU rRNA". It matches the Rfam family "Bacterial small subunit ribosomal RNA", at positions 768 to 1366 of the family's 1533-position model. The record is from RNAcentral.